GAUUAUGGCUCAGGAUGAACGCUAGCGACAGGCUUAACACAUGCAAGUCGAGGGGCAGCAUAGAAGUAGCAAUACUUUGGUGGCGACCGGCGCACGGGUGAGUAACGCGUAUGCAACCUACCUAUCAGAGGGGAAUAACCCGGCGAAAGUCGGACUAAUACCGCAUAAAACAGGGGCACCGCAUGGUGAUAUUUGUUAAAGAAAUUCGCUGAUAGAUGGGCAUGCGUUCCAUUAGGUAGUUGGUGAGGUAACGGCUCACCAAGCCGACGAUGGAUAGGGGAACUGAGAGGUUGGUCCCCCACACUGGUACUGAGACACGGACCAGACUCCUACGGGAGGCAGCAGUGAGGAAUAUUGGUCAAUGGGCGGGAGCCUGAACCAGCCAAGUCGCCGUGAAGGAAGAAGGAUCUAUGGUUCGUAAACUUCUUUUGCAGGGGAAUAAAGUGCAGGACGUGUCCUGUUUUGUAUGUACCCUGAGAAUAAGGAUCGGCUAACUCCGUGCCAGCCGCCGC
RNAcentral lists this ribosomal RNA (512 nucleotides) under uncultured bacterium. Its description in RNAcentral is "bacterial SSU rRNA". It matches the Rfam family "Bacterial small subunit ribosomal RNA", at positions 15 to 518 of the family's 1533-position model. The record is from RNAcentral.